Molecule: ribosomal RNA, 440 nt
Filed under: uncultured bacterium
Lineage: Bacteria
Description: partial 16S ribosomal RNA
Rfam family: Bacterial small subunit ribosomal RNA
Source: RNAcentral
CCUACGGGAGGCAGCAGUAGGGAAUAUUGCUCAAUGGGGGAAACCCUGAAGCAGCAACGCCGCGUGGAGGAUGAAGGUUUUCGGAUUGUAAACCCCUUUUUUUAGAGAAGAUAAUGACGGUAUCUAACGAAUAAGCACCGGCUAACUCCUUGCCCGCAGCCGCGGUAAUACGGAGGGUGCAAGCGUUACUCGGAAUCACUGGGCGUAAAGGGCGCGUAGGCGGGAUAGCAAGUCAGAUGUGAAAUCCUAUGGCUUAACCAUAGAACUGCAUUUGAAACUGUUAUUAUAGAGUAUGGGAGAGGUAGGUGGAAUUCUUGGUGUAGGGGUAAAAUCCGUAGAGAUCAAGAGGAAUACUCAUUGCGAAGGCGACCUGCUAGAACAUAACUGACGCUGAUGCGCGAAAGCGUGGGGAGCAAACAGGAUUAGAUACCCCAGUAGUC